Molecule: long non-coding RNA, 1824 nt
Filed under: Homo sapiens (human)
Lineage: Eukaryota; Metazoa; Chordata; Mammalia; Primates; Hominidae
Description: HSALNT0330716
Source: RNAcentral
AGACAGAGUCUUGCCCUGUUGCCCAGUCUGCAAUGCAAGUGUGCAAUCUCGGCUCACUGCAACCUCUGCCUCCCAGGCUCAAGAGAUCCUCCCACCUCAGCCUCCUAAGUAACUGGGACUACAGGUGUGCACCAUCACACCCAGCUAAUUCUUAUAUUUCUUGUAGAGAUGGGCUUUUGUCAUUUUGCCCAGGCUGGUCUCCAGCUCCUGGGCUCAAGUGAUCUUCCUGCCUCAGCCUCCCAAAGUGCUGGGAUUACAGGUGUGAGCCACCGCACUCUGUCUCAUUUUCACCAUUUGGGAUGAGAGACGUUACUGGUUUCUAAUAAGUAGAGGCCAGAAAUUGUGCUUAAUAUCUUACAAUACCCAGGACAAUCCCUACCCUGAAAGAAUUAUCCAGCCCAAAAUGUCAAUAGUUCCAAGUUGGGCAAACUCUGCUCUAAGGUUUUUGUGAGGAUUAAUUCACAUAGUGCUCUAAAGGUUUAGCAGAAUACUGGGCUCAAUAAAUCUUAACUGUUAAUAAGACUGAUUUCUAUUGACUGGUAGAAAAUAUACCUUUAUGCAAAUUUCGAGUGAACACAAACAUGUAUAAAAAUAAAUGAACUCUCUAUUUUUGGGGCUAGAAGCUUAUUGAAGCAUUUCUUUAGAUUAAAUAAUAAAAUUAAUACCUAGUCAUGUAUGUAUUGACAUCUAGAAUCCAUAUGCUCUUUGUGAGCCUUGAAAGGUUUUGAAUGAUACUUGACUAUUCUGUCAUUGCCAUGGUAAAUGUUUUAUCUUGUUGUUAAUAUCUGACUUAUUUAAAAUUCAUGUGGGAAAUUUGAAAGUUCUAUUUCCUAUCUUGAAAAUCAAUGACAACUUAAUCAAUGCUGCUAAAACAAGCCCCAGUUCUUAUGUAGUAGAAAAGUAAAUAAGAUGGAGAAUUAAAAGUGACAGAAUCUUCACAUCAAGGACAGAGAGCAUAUUUCUAUCUCGUUCUUCUAUGUCUGCAGCCUGAAAUAUUCCAUCUGCUUGCCUCUUUCCUCAGGGAAUUGAAGCACCUUGAAAAGGAUAAGAAAACUUCAACAUUACAACGAUGUUUCAUAUCAUUAGGCUCAAAUUAAGUAAAUAACAGAAUCCUAAGCUGAUGACACAUCCUGGGUUUGCACUAAUCAUAAUUUGCAAUCUCCAUCAUUGUCAUCAGAACCUUUUUGCCUAGCAACAUUCCUGCUGCUGCUUCUGUUCCGACCCUCUGGGUGCAACUGAAGGAGGAGGCAGUCAAAAGGAAAAACACAAAUAUCUCCAAGAUGGCACUUACAAAAAGCAACAACAAUGACAAAGUAUAAAUACAAACACACACCUUGAAGUUUAUGUUCUUACUCAAAUGCAAGCAUCAACAAUGGCCUACUGUCAGCAAGUUAAAUGGCUGGGGCUGUUUCAGUCUCCCAUUACAUGAAGAAUCUUCUGGAGAGGAAAGAAGAAACCAUGUCUAGACAAGGUGCUGGAAAGACCCAGGGAAGACACAGAUUUGUUCCUUUCUCCACCAUGCCUCACUAUGUGUCACCAAACUUAAUUCAGCAUCAGUGCUCCAAAUACUCCAUCCUACAAUUAGAGAAACCACUGAAUUCCGAUAUCCUCCACCCAAAUGGUAAUGAAGAUUGGAGAAAGUGACGCCCAUGCAUAGCGGAGAAGUGGAUUGCAGAUAUAACAAGGAGCACAGUAAACUGAGAUGUAAAACACCUUAUUCAACAACGAGGAUGCUGACUCAAAAGCAAAAGUUGAAGCACAUUAUGAAUGAAUGUCAAAAGGGAAAAAUCUAAAGCUAACAUAAAAGAGUGCAACUACAUCAAA